RNAcentral lists this non-coding RNA (24 nucleotides) under Arabidopsis thaliana (thale cress). Lineage: Eukaryota; Viridiplantae; Streptophyta; Magnoliopsida; Brassicales; Brassicaceae. The record is from RNAcentral.
AACGUUAUGCCAAACUCUUCAUGC